RNAcentral lists this ribosomal RNA (640 nucleotides) under Aspergillus awamori. RNAcentral's name for it is "partial 18S ribosomal RNA". The stretch from base 186 to 339 matches the Rfam family "5.8S ribosomal RNA". The record is from RNAcentral. Lineage: Eukaryota; Fungi; Ascomycota; Eurotiomycetes; Eurotiales; Aspergillaceae.
UUAAUAGGGGGGAGGACUAUAGCGGCGGAGGUCGGUGUCUAUUAUACGAAGGAGAAUCUGCGGGCCCGCCGCUUGUCGGCCGCCGGGGGGGCGCCUUUGCCCCCCGGGCCCGUGCCCGCCGGAGACCCCAACACGAACACUGUCUGAAAGCGUGCAGUCUGAGUUGAUUGAAUGCAAUCAGUUAAAACUUUCAACAAUGGAUCUCUUGGUUCCGGCAUCGAUGAAGAACGCAGCGAAAUGCGAUAACUAAUGUGAAUUGCAGAAUUCAGUGAAUCAUCGAGUCUUUGAACGCACAUUGCGCCCCCUGGUAUUCCGGGGGGCAUGCCUGUCCGAGCGUCAUUGCUGCCCUCAAGCCCGGCUUGUGUGUUGGGUCGCCGUCCCCCUCUCCGGGGGGACGGGCCCGAAAGGGGCCGGCGGCACCGCGUCCAAUCCGGGACCGUAUGGGGCUUUGUCACAUGCUCUGAAGGAUUGCCCCCCCCCCUCCAAAGGUUUUAAACAAUUUUUUGGGGGGUACGCCGAAAAGGUACGGAUAUCCCGGUGAACUUAAGCCCAUGGUUAAACGCGAAAAGCAUCAUUACCGAGUGCGGGUCCUUGGGCCAACUCCAUCCUGUCUAUAUACCCGUUGCUUCGGCGGGCCCGC